UCUCACCAGCUCUAUAAAAACUUCACCUGUGGUUCAUAAUUUGUUUUCCACAAAUGUAGCUACAUGGAAUGGGUUUCCUGCCUCCGACAAACAAAAUUUCAAUGUGAUGUACAACCUGCUGUGGAUGUGGACAGUUGUACAAAAACAGCACACGUGGUAAACAAUAGUGAUGGGACGAGCGACACUGGUGCAUCAGCACAGUGCCGAGAGCUCAAGAGUGAAACCUCGUAUCGGUGCGUGUAUUGCUUUAAGAAAGGAUCACGUGACCGAUACAGGAACUGUAUCGUUUGGAUGUGGCGUGCCAAAGUGUGUUUAUAAGGAAACAAACUGUAUCAACAUGUCGUGGGUUUGUCGAAUGGAGUUUUGCUUGAUCAUGGAUCUUUUUCUCCGGUGUGGAAUAAUUUUGAUCUCGUGACGCCAAACAAGGUGAAGUGUCGGCUCUGCUCCACAGAGCUAUCUUAUAUCAAUAAGAGCACUUCAUCAAUGCUGAGUCAUUAUAGAGCUCGGCAUGGCAAUGAAGAAUUGGCAGCUACUCGUGAGAAUACCCCUGGGCACAUUCUCUGGAAAACAUUAGAUCUGGAGUUGCAGAGACCCAGAAGACGAGGAACGCAACAGCUGACUCAAUUAUUGAAGUCCAACGCUACCUGGCAGAAACAAACACACCCAGAAACCAAGAUCCUUUGCAAUAUUGGAAAUUGAACCAGGAAAUAUACCCACAUCUUCAUCAACUUGCACUUAAAACUCUCUGCUCACCAUCAUCGUCUGUUCCAUGCAAAAGAGUAUUUUCCAAGGCUGGGGAGCUGGUGUGUAAGAGGAGAAAUCGCCUUGGAGCAAAGAGACUCCAAAAACUUUUGUUCCUCAAUAAAAAUUCAUGAACUAA
Molecule: long non-coding RNA, 880 nt
Organism: Oryzias latipes (Japanese medaka)
Lineage: Eukaryota; Metazoa; Chordata; Actinopteri; Beloniformes; Adrianichthyidae
Source: RefSeq, a predicted model, not a curated record